AUAUGAUGUCACAAUUUAUUAUACACUUUAAUCAGAAGAAAAAAUAUUUGUAAUAUCUUCAUUAUAAUUACAAAGAACAAAUGUAACAAGAAGGAAUCCUGUCACACACAAUUGGCCUCGGCGGCAGGGGGCGCCUCGCAGCCGUAUUACCGCUCACCCCACUCGCCCCACUGGUUCCGCUGGUCCCAGCAGUGGGGUAUACUCUGCUCCAGUCCGUGGUCAUGGUGGCUCGGCUCUCGCAGGAGAAUCUCAAGAAGUGGGCCCUCAGACCACACUCUCAUGAAGAAGUAGCGGCGCAACAAACUUCACCGCAGCAGCAAGUGUAUAUUCAGUCCAUUCGCGCCGGCGUACGUCGUGUGGAGACAGCAUAGUGUUCCACUC
Molecule: long non-coding RNA, 381 nt
Organism: Plodia interpunctella (Indianmeal moth)
Lineage: Eukaryota; Metazoa; Arthropoda; Insecta; Lepidoptera; Pyralidae
Exons: 3
Source: RefSeq, a predicted model, not a curated record